This is a long non-coding RNA of Megalobrama amblycephala (Wuchang bream), 1109 nucleotides long. RefSeq lists it as uncharacterized. The record is from RefSeq and is a predicted model, not a curated record. The transcript is spliced from 6 exons. NCBI's taxonomy places the organism in Eukaryota, Metazoa, Chordata, Actinopteri, Cypriniformes, Xenocyprididae.
AAACACGGCAGCAGAGAGCCGUUCAUAAUGCCUGACGAAGUCUCUUCUCAGGCUUGCUAAUCAAACAGUCCAGAUGUGUCGAAAUAUUUGCGGUGCUUUCAGGACCAUAAUUAAAUAACAAUUACAACUGCCUAACAGCUUUUUCCACCCUGUCUGCGCGUUCGUGCGCGAGCCUCAAGGGACGGAGCUCAAGUCAUGGAGCAGUGUCUGUUUUCACAGACAAUAACACGCUAAUGAAGAACACAUCAAACUAGAGAGUGUGCGCGAGAGAAACCAGCCUGCAAAUGAUGCGCGGUCAAGUGAUGCAAGCCAGUAGCUGAAGGAAUCGGGAUAGAAGUUACAGGUGCCGCGACCAUGACACUCUAUGAAUGGAAUCUUCCGGAAUUCUUCCAGACAGGAUCCAGGUGAGACCAGCGGCUGUCCGGAACCUUCUGCACCUGCUCCCGUUUGCUAGGAAAAAUAAAUCAGAACAAGCACAGAGAGAGGUCUUGUCCAUGCCCGCGGUUAUUGCCGUUGAUGAAGAGAAGUGAAUAUCCAAAGUACAGAUGUGUUGACCCACUAGGACAGACUGGUAGAUCUACUGUCUGGCUAUGCUUGGUAAAAAAGAAUCCAUCAUUUUUCGGUCCCCCAGAUGGGCCCCGUGAGCCCUUGGGACCCACUUCGCCUGACAAACCACGAGGACCUUCGGAGGCAAAGAAGUGUUACCUCUCGGUCCAGGGCCCCCAUUUGGUCCAACACCUCCAUCUGCACCUAUACCUCCCCUCUGACCUUGUGCUCCUAAAAGGCAAACCAGGUUCACCGGGGAUAUAGAUGACCUCACCGACAACAUCAUCACCUUUUGGCCCUAAAUAAUCACAAAGAGGGGGAAAAUGUUCAGCUGAUCCUGGAAUGCCAUCUCUGCCUAUUUCUCCCCGAUGUCCUUGUGGACCGGGAGCUCCAGCAGAACCAGGAACACCUUAAUAAACAUAGAGAUACAUCACUGGAAAAGACAAGUGAAUUCUUCAUGUUUUACAGAAUAUGUAUUCUUGGUGUUGGUUACAUUUAAGUUACAUUUUACAUUACAAGUCAAGAUACAAUACAUGUAACAGAAGGGGAUCAUUUAAUGCUAG